Molecule: small RNA, 431 nt
Filed under: Morganella morganii
Lineage: Bacteria; Pseudomonadati; Pseudomonadota; Gammaproteobacteria; Enterobacterales; Morganellaceae
Description: cspA thermoregulator
Rfam family: cspA thermoregulator
Source: RNAcentral
GUUUGGAAGUACAGACCUAUUUAUGUCAGUCCGAUUUUAAGUUGUUCUCCGUCAAGCGUUAUCCAAGAUACCACUUCAUAGCGAAUUCCUUCUGAUAGUUCCCAUAGGUAAAACGUAAUCAAACCGCUCAUAUGCCUUAUGGCAACAAAAUUAAUUUAAAGGAAAUUCAUAUGUCCGCAACAAUUACCGGUACUGUAAAAUGGUUUAACGAUGAUAAAGGUUUUGGCUUUAUCACUCCUGCUGACGGCAGCAAAGACGUGUUUGUUCACUUCUCUGCAAUUCAGAGUGACAACUUCAAAUCUCUGGCAGAAGGCCAGCAGGUUUCUUUCACCAUCGAAAAUGGUAUGAAAGGCCCGGCUGCGGCUAACGUGGUUGCACUGUAAUCACCACUGCACAGUAACAGAUUUUAAAAACCUCACUCCGGUGAGGUU